GUACUCACUUCGGCAGCACAUACACUUUAAAAAAUUAGAACAAUACAGAGAAGGUUAGCAAUGGCCCUUGCACAAGGAUGACAUGCAGAUUCAUGAAGUGUUCCAUAUUUUU
This is a small nuclear RNA of Ictidomys tridecemlineatus (thirteen-lined ground squirrel), 112 nucleotides long. The record is from Ensembl. Lineage: Eukaryota; Metazoa; Chordata; Mammalia; Rodentia; Sciuridae.